UCCGGUUUGGCACCGGCAGUCCUCCCAGAGUCCUCGGCAUGACCCGGUAGCAACUGGGAGCGGGGGUUGCGCUCGUUGCGGGACUUAACCCAACAUCUCACGACACGAGCUGACGACAGCCAUGCAGCACCUGUCUAGGGACUCCGAAGAGGGGUCUCGGUUUCUCGAGACUUUCCCCUAGAUGUCAAGCCCAGGUAAGGUUCUUCGCGUUGCGUCGAAUUAAUCCACAUGCUCCACCGCUUGUGCGGGUCCCCGUCAAUUCAUUUGAGUUUCAACCUUGCGGCCGUACUCCCCAGGCGGGAUACUUAAUGCGUUAGCUGCGGCACAAGAGGGGUCAACUCCCACGACACCUAGUUCUCAUCGUUUACGGCGUGGACUAC
This 380-nucleotide unclassified non-coding RNA is filed under the name uncultured bacterium. Its description in RNAcentral is "contains 16S-23S intergenic spacer region". The record is from RNAcentral.